RNAcentral lists this ribosomal RNA (726 nucleotides) under uncultured bacterium. RNAcentral's name for it is "bacterial SSU rRNA". It matches the Rfam family "Bacterial small subunit ribosomal RNA", at positions 773 to 1499 of the family's 1533-position model. The record is from RNAcentral.
CAGGAUUAGAUACCCUGGUAGUCCACGCCGUAAACGAUGUCGACUUGGAGGCUGUUUCCUUGAGAAGUGGCUUCCGGAGCUAACGCGUUAAGUCGACCGCCUGGGGAGUACGGCCGCAAGGUUAAAACUCAAAUGAAUUGACGGGGGCCCGCACAAGCGGUGGAGCAUGUGGUUUAAUUCGAUGCAACGCGAAGAACCUUACCUACUCUUGGCAUCCACGGAAUUUGGCAGAGAUGCCUUAGUGCCUUCGGGAACCGUGAGACAGGUGCUGCAUGGCUGUCGUCAGCUCGUGUUGUGAAAUGUUGGGUUAAGUCCCGCAACGAGCGCAACCCUUAUCCUUUGUUGCCAGCGAUUCGGUCGGGAACUCAAAGGAGACUGCCGGUGAUAAACCGGAGGAAGGUGGGGAUGACGUCAAGUCAUCAUGGCCCUUACGAGUAGGGCUACACACGUGCUACAAUGGCGCAUACAAAGAGAAGCGACCUCGCGAGAGCAAGCGGACCUCAUAAAGUGCGUCGUAGUCCGGAUCGGAGUCUGCAACUCGACUCCGUGAAGUCGGAAUCGCUAGUAAUCGUGGAUCAGAAUGCCACGGUGAAUACGUUCCCGGGCCUUGUACACACCGCCCGUCACACCAUGGGAGUGGGUUGCAAAAGAAGUAGGUAGCUUAACCUUCGGGAGGGCGCUUACCACUUUGUGAUUCAUGACUGGGGUGAAGUCGUAACAAGGUAC